This 1086-nucleotide long non-coding RNA is filed under the name Olea europaea (common olive). RNAcentral describes it as "long non-coding RNA (OEUR_LNC004424)". The record is from RNAcentral. Lineage: Eukaryota; Viridiplantae; Streptophyta; Magnoliopsida; Lamiales; Oleaceae.
UUAGCCACAGAUUAAUUUUUAGUCAUAACUUAUCAAAUUAUUGGUCGUAACUUAUUUCUCAAUCACAAAUUAAAAAUUUUAUAGGUCACAAAAUAUUUUUUGGUCAAAAAUCAAAUUUUUUUACAGAUAACAGAUUAUUCAUCGAUCACAUAUUUAAAACUUUUAUUGGUUACAAAUCAUUUAUUCAUUGCAAAUUAUUUAAUUAAUUAGUCAAUAUUAAUUUUUCGAUCACAAUUUAAUUAAUUAUGAGUCACAAUUUUUAGGUCACAUAUCCAAUUGCAAGUCACAAUCGAGAGUUAAGGGCAUAGUCACAAUUUUCAGCACCACUACCAUCGCUGCCACCACAGCCAACAAAACCCACCCCAAACCGCAUCCCCCCAUUCCCUUAAAUCACCACCACAAACGCCACAGCUAGCACCGCCAAUGUCACCGAUUUCCACAACCACCGCAUUCACCACCACAAUCGAGUCAAGAAAUUUAUUGGUCACAGACACUAUUAAUCCACCCGACUGAUGCCGACGUUGCCGCCACCAACACCAUGCUGCCAUCACUUGCACCGCAUCCAACAACCAAGAAAAAAAUCAACACCACGAUCUGUGCCGUCAACCAUAAAAGAAAAAAAACAUCAACACUGCGAUUGUUGCUGAUGCAUCUGCGCCAUCGCAAUUUGCAAGCCUCCGACAACGUUUACACACCACGACAACCACCCCGAUCGCCAGAUCAGACACCAUCGCAACACCUCAAAACAACCUACCGCAACACUUCAAACAAACCACAACCACCCCUCUGAAUCACCACAACCACCACCGCCACACCGUCACCACACAAACACCGUCGCCACACCUUACAAAAUUCACGAUCGCCACAGAUCGAUGUUGCUGCUGCAAGUCGCCUCCAAAUCACGACGCUACCGUUUGCAAUAGCAACAUCGAUCGUCAACGCUGGCGAGGCUGUAACUGCUAGCACCACCAUCAUCUCCGAUUCCAACAGCGUCGACCGGAGCAACUUCUUCAUCGUCGAAUUUUGAACAGAAUUAGAGAGAGACGAGAGGGACAAGUUUAGAGAGAUAAGAGAGGUUAGGGUUUG